CUCACAAAGCUGCACCUUUCCUCAGCUUUCCUGACAAUUUCCCAAUAUGUUCUCCAACUAUGUGCCGAGACUGACCUUUUCCUCCCUAAGAGAUAUCAGUUAAGCCCACAGGAAAGGCACAUCUGUCUCAUUGCUGAGAGCUGGCCAGGAGCUCUGCAAAUGUUGGCUGCUCUGUCAGGAUAAAUGGAGAAGAUACAUGUUUUCAGAAAGCACGAGGACCAACAAUCUUCAGCUGAUGCCUUUAGCAGGAGUAGGAAUAAGCAGACAGCUCUCACUGGAGAUCAACUGCUCAAGUCUCAAAUCACUUUACAAAAAUUCUACCUUCUGCAUCUCCUUGCAGAGUGGCAUGCAUGACAGUUUGCCUGGGAAAAACUCCCAGAAUAUGAUGCUAUUCAUUCAGCUAAAAUAGAAGAGGAAGAGCCUGCCAUGACAGUGUUUCUUUAAUGAGAAGAACAGACUAGAAGACCAACAUAUCACAUAAAAAUUAGCAAAAUA
This is a long non-coding RNA of Pseudopipra pipra, 495 nucleotides long. RefSeq lists it as uncharacterized. The transcript is spliced from 3 exons. NCBI's taxonomy places the organism in Eukaryota, Metazoa, Chordata, Aves, Passeriformes, Pipridae. The record is from RefSeq and is a predicted model, not a curated record.